UAGGUGUGGCAAGCAGGGACA
RNAcentral lists this unclassified non-coding RNA (21 nucleotides) under Mus musculus (house mouse). RNAcentral's name for it is "oocyte_clustered_small_RNA6794". Lineage: Eukaryota; Metazoa; Chordata; Mammalia; Rodentia; Muridae. The record is from RNAcentral.